Neocloeon triangulifer is the source of this 362-nucleotide long non-coding RNA. RefSeq lists it as uncharacterized. Lineage: Eukaryota; Metazoa; Arthropoda; Insecta; Ephemeroptera; Baetidae. The record is from RefSeq and is a predicted model, not a curated record. The transcript has 2 exons.
AGGAGUAGAAAAGCGGCCAUAUUUAUAGUCAGUCAAUCGUUGCUCAAGAAUGAGUAUUAUUGUUGCUGUGACGUAAUCUCCAUUACUAUCGUCACUUUCUUGUGUCCACCAUAUUACAUCGUACGUCGUCCAUUAAUUUGCAAAUUGUCGCUGAAUUCGGCUUAAAACAGCCGAUUUCGCCCUACUAAGUUGAUGGGCUUGUCUUUUCCUCGGCGGUACUGGUUGUCCGUGCUGUUCCCGACCUUUGUGACCUGGGCGAUUGUGUCCGAUCUUCUGCGAACUCAACGCUACAAGCAAAAGAAGCUUGAAACCAGCUCCUCGUCUGAACUGCUUCAGUAAAUUUUUAAAGAUGAUCCCCGACU